Molecule: transfer RNA, 62 nt
Filed under: Aneides flavipunctatus (black salamander)
Lineage: Eukaryota; Metazoa; Chordata; Amphibia; Caudata; Plethodontidae
Description: partial tRNA-His
Rfam family: tRNA
About the family: Transfer RNA (tRNA) molecules are approximately 80 nucleotides in length.
Source: RNAcentral
GUUUAUAUAAUUUAAAUAAGAUAUUAGACUGUGAUUCUAACUAUGAGAGUUCAAACCUCUCU